This is a long non-coding RNA of Olea europaea var. sylvestris, 256 nucleotides long. RefSeq lists it as uncharacterized. Lineage: Eukaryota; Viridiplantae; Streptophyta; Magnoliopsida; Lamiales; Oleaceae. The record is from RefSeq and is a predicted model, not a curated record. The transcript is spliced from 3 exons.
UCCAGCAUCUUGAAGACUUUAUAUACACCUCCUAACAACAUGUUUAGUCUUACAAAUUAUCCCCAAUUGACCACUUAUUGAAAGAGAAAGCAAAAAGGAAAAGAGAGAAGCAGAAACAAGGAGCUGAAAUUGAAUUUCUGGAUAGGUGAUUUUCUGACGUUGAGUGAAAAAGGAAAGUGAUAUAAUCUCCGUAAGAGCUUGUGCACACACAAGGGCAAAAAGGUGAGCAUGGAACUAUGUAGAGAGCACGGCUAGC